This is a long non-coding RNA of Diospyros lotus (date-plum), 393 nucleotides long. RefSeq lists it as uncharacterized. The record is from RefSeq and is a predicted model, not a curated record. NCBI's taxonomy places the organism in Eukaryota, Viridiplantae, Streptophyta, Magnoliopsida, Ericales, Ebenaceae. The transcript is spliced from 3 exons.
CGCCACCGCCGCUGCCUCCGCCUCGGUCAGGCUCCUCCUCCGCGUACGCCGCUGCCAGAUCUGCCUCCGCCUCCGCCGACUCAAAGAAUCUAAGUUCCUUAUUCAUACAUUAUGGAGAGGAUAAGAGUAUCAUUUCUAGAAUUCUCACACAGGAAUCAAGGGUGUUGCUGGGAAGAUGGAGUAAAUUGUGAUGAUAUCUAUUUUGGCAGACUCGGUGAUGCAACUCUGGUUCAUAAGAGUUGGAAGAUUUUGGUUUCACUUCUCUGUCUUUGUUGGUUUUCUUGAUAAUUGUUUGGUAGUUUGUAUUUUUUUAUAUAUUUUAAAUUAAGGAUCUUAUGGAUUUUGUUAUGGAAUGAUGUUGAAAUGAAAGUGGGUUAAGAAAAACUUUCGUAU